ACCACCAUAGCUCAUUUGGUUAGGGCAUGGUGCUGAUAAUGCCAAGGUUGCAAGUCUGAUCCCUGUACAGUGGUAAAGGUA
Molecule: non-coding RNA, 81 nt
Organism: Podarcis lilfordi (Lilford's wall lizard)
Lineage: Eukaryota; Metazoa; Chordata; Lepidosauria; Squamata; Lacertidae
Source: the annotation of a GenBank genome assembly